RNAcentral lists this ribosomal RNA (505 nucleotides) under uncultured fungus. RNAcentral's name for it is "eukaryotic LSU rRNA". It matches the Rfam family "Eukaryotic large subunit ribosomal RNA", at positions 99 to 628 of the family's 3401-position model. The record is from RNAcentral. Lineage: Eukaryota; Fungi.
CGGCAACAGCUCAAAUUUGAAAUCUGGCCCCAGGCCCGAGUUGUAAUUUGCAGAGGAUGCUUUUGGCGAGGUGCCUUCCGAGUUCCCUGGAACGGGACGCCAUAGAGGGUGAGAGCCCCGUACGGUUGGACACCAAGUCUUUGUAAAGCUCCUUCGACGAGUCGAGUAGUUUGGGAAUGCUGCUCAAAAUGGGAGGUAUAUUUCUUCUAAAGCUAAAUAUUGGCCAGAGACCGAUAGCGCACAAGUAGAGUGAUCGAAAGAUGAAAAGCACUUUGAAAAGAGGGUUAAACAGCACGUGAAAUUGUUAAAAGGGAAGCGCUUAUGACCAGACUUGCGCCCGGUGAAUCACCCAGCUCUCGCGGCUGGGGCACUUUGCCGGCUCAGGCCAGCAUCAGCUCGCUGUCGGGGACAAAAGCUUCGGGAACGUAGCUCUCUUCGGGGAGUGUUAUAGCCCGUUGCAUAAUACCCUUCGGCGGGCUGAGGUACGCGCUCCGCAAGGAUGCUG